RNAcentral lists this transfer RNA (72 nucleotides) under Mycobacterium phage Myrna. It matches the Rfam family "tRNA". From Rfam's summary of the family: Transfer RNA (tRNA) molecules are approximately 80 nucleotides in length. The record is from Rfam by way of RNAcentral. Lineage: Duplodnaviria; Heunggongvirae; Uroviricota; Caudoviricetes.
GUGCUGAUGGCCGAGAUGGUUAGGCACUGGGUUGCAACCCCAGGCACGCAGGUUCGAGUCCUGUUCGGCACU